Molecule: ribosomal RNA, 427 nt
Filed under: uncultured bacterium
Lineage: Bacteria
Description: partial 16S ribosomal RNA
Rfam family: Bacterial small subunit ribosomal RNA
Source: RNAcentral
UGGGGAAUAUUGCACAAUGGGCGCAAGCCUGAUGCAGCCAUGCCGCGUGUAUGAAGAAGGCCUUCGGGUUGUAAAGUACUUUCAGCGGGGAGGAAGGUGUUGAGGUUAAUAACCUCAGCAAUUGACGUUACCCGCAGAAGAAGCACCGGCUAACUCCGUGCCAGCAGCCGCGGUAAUACGGAGGGUGCAAGCGUUAAUAGGAAUUACUGGGCGUAAAGCGCACGCAGGCGGUCUGUCAAGUCGGAUGUGAAAUCCCCGGGCUCAACCUGGGAACUGCAUUCGAAACUGGCAGGCUAGAGUCUUGUAGAGGGGGGUAGAAUUCCAGGUGUAGUGGUGAAAUGCGUAGAGAUCUGGAGGAAUACCGGUGGCGAAGGCGGCCCCCUGGACAAAGACUGACGCUCAGGUGCGAAAGCGUGGGGAGCAAACA